CGUAGGAUGCGAGCGUUGUCCGGAUUUACUGGGCGUAAAGGGCGAGUAGGCGGCCCGCUAAGUCUCAUGUGAAAUCUCCCGGCUCAACUGGGAGGGGUCAUGAGAAACUGGCAGGCUUGAGGUCAGCAGAGGAAAGCGGAAUUCCCGGAGUAGCGGUGAUAUGCGUAGAUACCGGGAGGAACACCAGAGGCGAAGGCGGCUUUCUGGGCUGCACCUGACGCUGAGGCGCGAAAGCGUGGGGAGCGAACCGGAUUAGAUACCCGGGUAGUCCACGCCCUAAAUGGUGGAUACUAGACAUGGGGGUAUCGACCCCCUCUGUGUCGUAGUUAACGCGUUAAGUAUCCCGCCUGGGGAGUACGGCCGCAAGGCUAAAACUCAAAGGAAUUGACGGGGGCCCGCACAAGCAGCGGAGCGUGUUGUUCAAUUCGAUGUUAAGCGAAGAACCUUACCAGGGCUUGACAUGUUUCCGACAGUCCCCGAAAGGGGAUCUUCCUUCGGGACGGAUUCACAGAUGUUGCAUGGUCGUCGUCAGCUCGUGUCGUGAGAUGUUGGGUUAAGUCCCGCAACGAGCGCAACCCUUGUCGUUAGUUACCUUGUCUAGCGAGACUGCAUGUAAAAAACAUGAGGAAGGUGGGGAUGACGUCAGAUCAGCACGGCUCUUACGUCCUGGGCUACAAACACGCUACAAUGGCCUGAACAAAGGGUCGCCAAGGCGCAAGCCGGAGCCAAUCCCACAAAUCAGGCCUCAGUUGGAAUUGCAGGCUGAAACUCGCCUGCAUGAACGUGGAGCUGCUAGUAACCGCAGGUCAGCACACUGCGGUGAAUACGUUCCCGGGCCUUG
RNAcentral lists this ribosomal RNA (841 nucleotides) under uncultured bacterium. RNAcentral describes it as "bacterial SSU rRNA". It matches the Rfam family "Bacterial small subunit ribosomal RNA", at positions 526 to 1383 of the family's 1533-position model. The record is from RNAcentral.